CAUGUAGGCGGAUUAAUAAGUUUGAAGUGAAAUCCUAUAGCUUAACUAUAGAACUGCUUUGAAAACUGUUAAUCUAGAAUGUGGGAGAGGUAGAUGGAAUUUCUGGUGUAGGGGUAAAAUCCGUAGAGAUCAGAAGGAAUACCAAUUGCGAAGGCGAUCUACUGGAACAUUAUUGACGCUGAGAUGCGAAAGCGUGGGGAGCAAACA
RNAcentral lists this ribosomal RNA (207 nucleotides) under uncultured bacterium. RNAcentral describes it as "partial 16S ribosomal RNA". It matches the Rfam family "Bacterial small subunit ribosomal RNA", at positions 568 to 774 of the family's 1533-position model. The record is from RNAcentral.